AUGGAAGCCAGUCACACCACCCCUGAGUCCAUGGCGGCCUGGCUUCCCAUCGCCGCACGCCGCAUCUCGGGCGAUUUACUCCUCGUAUUGCAGACCAACAUACCAGACUACGAGGUCUGGGAAAGAGGCGCCCUUGAGCUGCCAUGCUUCGAGAACGCCACCUCGAUCACCCUCGAACUAGAGGGUCUUGGCCUCACGAUGCCGCCUUCCGGCAUAUUCGCCCGGCUCACCAAUCUCCACCUAGGUUGCAUCCGGCUACGUGGUCCGAGCAUGCUCGGCGAGGCUGUCUCCUCGCCGCGCUGCCCGGCGUUACAGAAACUGACUCUCAGUGGUACCUCGGGUCUGGGCAACUUGACCAUCCACUCGGAAUCUCUCUUGGAAAUGACACUGACGCGCGUGCACGGCUUGCAGCAGCUCAAUGUCACAGCGCCGGCACUCAAACAGUUAGAAGUGCUGUCCUGCUUUACUAAAGGUGGGAUGAUUUUGAUCCUACCGGUUGCAAACAUCUCCGCCCCUCAGCUGGAAUCCCUCAUGUGGUGGGAUGAUUCUGAUCCAAAGUUCACCCAGCUCGGCAAGAUGGAAAAUCUACAGUGCCUGAGCACCUUCCCUUUUACUAUAUAUGAAGAAACUGACCAUGUACGCGAGUUACAGAAUAGCUACUGUACAAGGCUUUUGCGGCGCUUUGAGCUCAUCCACAGUCUCAGAUUCCAACUUGUGAAUGAUCUGGUGAGUUGA
This 735-nucleotide ribosomal RNA is filed under the name Triticum aestivum (bread wheat). Its description in RNAcentral is "partial small subunit ribosomal RNA". Lineage: Eukaryota; Viridiplantae; Streptophyta; Magnoliopsida; Poales; Poaceae. The record is from RNAcentral.